CAGCCGCCGCGGUAAUACCGGCGGCCCGAGUGGCGGUCACUAUUAUUGGGCUUAAAGCGGCCGUAGCCGGGUUGGGAAGUCCUCCGGGAAAUCUGGCCGCUUAACGGUCAGAAUGCCGGAGGAUACUCCCAGCCUAGGGAGCGGGGGAGGCCGAGGGGAUUCCCGGGGUAGGGGGGAAAUCCUAUAAUCCCGGGAGGACCACCUGUGGCGAAGGCGCUCGGCUGGAACGCGUCCGACGGUGAGGGACGAAGGCCAGGGGAGCAAACCAGAUUAGAUGCCCGGGUAGUCCUGGCUGUAAACGAUGCGGACUUUGUGUCGGACAAGCUAUGAGCUUGUCCGGUGCCGGAGGGAAACCGUUAAGUCCGCCGCCUGGGGAGUACGGCCGCAAGGCUGAAACUUAAAGGAAUUGGCGGG
RNAcentral lists this ribosomal RNA (414 nucleotides) under uncultured microorganism. RNAcentral's name for it is "bacterial SSU rRNA". It matches the Rfam family "Archaeal small subunit ribosomal RNA", at positions 459 to 872 of the family's 1478-position model. The record is from RNAcentral.